Sebastes umbrosus (honeycomb rockfish) is the source of this 981-nucleotide long non-coding RNA. RefSeq lists it as uncharacterized. The transcript is spliced from 2 exons. Lineage: Eukaryota; Metazoa; Chordata; Actinopteri; Perciformes; Sebastidae. The record is from RefSeq and is a predicted model, not a curated record.
CGCUGCACCUGAGCCUCGCUGCGACCACUUCAAACCAGCUGCCUUCUUUACAACAGGAUGCAUGCAGCAGCAGCAGCAGCUCAGCUCGCGCUGCUCGUGUUUGUUACACUUGUUGUUCUUGCCAGAUUGUUCUCUCAAGGAGACUUGGCGUGAACAUCCUUCUCAAGUCCAUCCUUGGCUGUCCUAGUAUUGAGAAACAGCCUCCGAGUCCAAAUGACCAAGGUCGAACACUGCUGCUUCAGAGGAUGCUCGCCAACGCAGAGUGUCCAGUGAGAGGGCGGUCAAAAUGGAAAUAAAACAUGACUUUCCACCACAUUCCCCAUAUCAGCACCCAGGAAGUAAUUGUUAACUAUAGGAAUUACAGGUACAUUCACAUGCAGUUAUGUGUGUAACAUAAAAUACAAAUAUUGUACAGUUAUUAUUUUCUUGCAACCUUUUUUUAAAUCUUUAUUCAUUCAGGGAAGUUUCACUGAAAGGAAACCUCUUUUGCAGGAACGCCCUGAUCAUAUUCGCACAUUCACACCUGGAAGCUGCCCAGUACAACCACAGCCAGAGCCUCUGAACAGCUCCACCGGAGCAGUUGGAGUUAAGGGCCUUGCUCAAGGGCAUCCUCAGCUUCUUCACUUUCCCCAAUCAGAUUUAUUAAAGUAUCAAAAGUAAAAGGAUUCGGUCUGCAGAAAAAUGGCAUCUGUAACUGAUAGGCUACAUUACAUAUUUUAUUAUUAAUAUUAAUGCAUCAAUGCCUAAGUAGUAGUAGUAGUAUCAGCAGUAACUAGACACUGCUUUUUAAGGGAUUUUGACUUGUGUUUUAUAAGCUUAUCAUAUAUCCUUUUAUAUAAAUUCUUAAUCUAGAAUGUAACUCCAGCUGUCAGAUAAACAUAGCGGAGCACAUGCAGAAUAUAUGAUAUCCCAGCCGAGCCUGUCAUCCACUUGUAUAAUUUAAGAGGGAACUCCUUAAAAGUGUUUCGCUGAAAAGAGAAA